This 1608-nucleotide ribosomal RNA is filed under the name Salmonella enterica. RNAcentral's name for it is "partial 23S ribosomal RNA". It matches the Rfam family "Bacterial large subunit ribosomal RNA", at positions 1213 to 2803 of the family's 2925-position model. Lineage: Bacteria; Pseudomonadati; Pseudomonadota; Gammaproteobacteria; Enterobacterales; Enterobacteriaceae. The record is from RNAcentral.
CUUAUGCGUUGUUGGGUAGGGGAGCGUUCUGUAAGCCUGUGAAGGUGGCCUGUGAGGGUUGCUGGAGGUAUCAGAAGUGCGAAUGCUGACAUAAGUAACGAUAAAGCGGGUGAAAAGCCCGCUCGCCGGAAGACCAAGGGUUCCUGUCCAACGUUAAUCGGGGCAGGGUGAGUCGACCCCUAAGGCGAGGCCGAAAGGCGUAGUCGAUGGGAAACGGGUUAAUAUUCCCGUACUUGGUGUUACUGCGAAGGGGGGACGGAGAAGGCUAUGUUGGCCGGGCGACGGUUGUCCCGGUUUAAGCGUGUAGGUGUGUGUUCCAGGUAAAUCCGGUUCACUUUAACACUGAGGCGUGAUGACGAGGCACUACGGUGCUGAAGCAACAAAUGCCCUGCUUCCAGGAAAAGCCUCUAAGCAUCAGGUAACAUCAAAUCGUACCCCAAACCGACACAGGUGGUCAGGUAGAGAAUACCAAGGCGCUUGAGAGAACUCGGGUGAAGGAACUAGGCAAAAUGGUGCCGUAACUUCGGGAGAAGGCACGCUGACACGUAGGUGAAGUGAUUUACUCACGGAGCUGAAGUCAGUCGAAGAUACCAGCUGGCUGCAACUGUUUAUUAAAAACACAGCACUGUGCAAACACGAAAGUGGACGUAUACGGUGUGACGCCUGCCCGGUGCCGGAAGGUUAAUUGAUGGGGUCAGCGCAAGCGAAGCUCCUGAUCGAAGCCCCGGUAAACGGCGGCCGUAACUAUAACGGUCCUAAGGUAGCGAAAUUCCUUGUCGGGUAAGUUCCGACCUGCACGAAUGGCGUAAUGAUGGCCAGGCUGUCUCCACCCGAGACUCAGUGAAAUUGAACUCGCUGUGAAGAUGCAGUGUACCCGCGGCAAGACGGAAAGACCCCGUGAACCUUUACUAUAGCUUGACACUGAACAUUGAGCCUUGAUGUGUAGGAUAGGUGGGAGGCUUUGAAGCGUGGACGCCAGUCUGCGUGGAGCCGACCUUGAAAUACCACCCUUUAAUGUUUGAUGUUCUAACGUGGACCCGUGAUCCGGGUUGCGGACAGUGUCUGGUGGGUAGUUUGACUGGGGCGGUCUCCUCCUAAAGAGUAACGGAGGAGCACGAAGGUUGGCUAAUCCUGGUCGGACAUCAGGAGGUUAGUGCAAUGGCAUAAGCCAGCUUGACUGCGAGCGUGACGGCGCGAGCAGGUGCGAAAGCAGGUCAUAGUGAUCCGGUGGUUCUGAAUGGAAGGGCCAUCGCUCAACGGAUAAAAGGUACUCCGGGGAUAACAGGCUGAUACCGCCCAAGAGUUCAUAUCGACGGCGGUGUUUGGCACCUCGAUGUCGGCUCAUCACAUCCUGGGGCUGAAGUAGGUCCCAAGGGUAUGGCUGUUCGCCAUUUAAAGUGGUACGCGAGCUGGGUUUAGAACGUCGUGAGACAGUUCGGUCCCUAUCUGCCGUGGGCGCUGGAGAACUGAGGGGGGCUGCUCCUAGUACGAGAGGACCGGAGUGGACGCAUCACUGGUGUUCGGGUUGUCAUGCCAAUGGCACUGCCCGGUAGCUAAAUGCGGAAGAGAUAAGUGCUGAAAGCAUCUAAGCACGAAACUUGCCCCGAG